This is a long non-coding RNA of Aedes aegypti (yellow fever mosquito), 743 nucleotides long. RefSeq lists it as uncharacterized. NCBI's taxonomy places the organism in Eukaryota, Metazoa, Arthropoda, Insecta, Diptera, Culicidae. The record is from RefSeq and is a predicted model, not a curated record. The transcript is spliced from 2 exons.
CCGGCACAUUAUUCCGCACAUCUGGGCACCCUUCUAAACAGCAUUUUUUUUCUGAUUUGAUUUGACAACUGAAACUUUGUUGUUGUCCUGGUUGUUAACCAGUAAAUAAAAAAAAAUGGUCGCGGAUUAACCAGCUUCUUUCAUCCAGAAUUUGAUUUGGUUUGCUUCCAGCGAAAGGUGGCCAUUCCGCAAAACAACCGCGGCGAGAAAUGAAACAUUAUCUUGUUCACCGAGGGUCAGAAAAUUCUCAUCAACCAAAUUUAAACCGACGACCAAGUUUUCCGGAUGCCUGUCGCACCUUUGUGCAGGCCCAUCCCAAUAUAUUUGUGGACUAAUUACAAAUCCAAAUCAAUUAUUGAUUGUGAUCAGGCUGAGAAACAAGUUUUGAAAUCUCCGCCAAGAGAUACUUGAACAAGAACUAGAAAAUGGUCAAAUGAAACUAAAUGCUCAGCCGAGAAGGAUAAAAACCAGAAAUAUUACUGACAAAUCCUGACAAGCGUUUGCACGUUGCAGAUGGACGUGGAAAAACUUGAACCGUUAUUUUGCUAAAAUACAUCAACUCGACGAGACCGAAGCGGAAAGGUAAAUUUGUCAUCAGAUUGGAAGAGUCUACCACCCCACGGCAGAGAUGCACAAGAUAAAUUCGUUCUUGUUUUUAUGUGGCAGCUGAGAAAGAAGCUGCUAAAAUUAUCAAAUUAGUUCAUAGUCGUAAAUAGUGGUUCAAAUAUAUGAAAACUAAUGAA